GGGCUGUAAUUGUGGCUCUUGUGUGAUGUUUUUACCCUGUGUGUGUGUGUGUGUGUGUGUGUGUGUGUGUCGUCCUCCCCUCUGCUGAGGAAAGGGGACAGUCUUCCAGCUGAUAGCAGAAUUCAGGUCGACACCGCAUCAUUUCUGCCUCAUGCAUCAAUUCAUGUUGUUACUCCUGUGACCAGAGAAAGUGAAAUAUUCCUCCAUAUUAAAACACGCUGCUAAAAAUAACAACAACAAUCUUAUCGGAAACACUUUGCAAUACUCAGUAUUACAGCUGCAGUGGAAGUACAGUAGGGAGAACCCACAUUUUAAGGCUUGACAGUGUUGACAGCGCUGAGUAACUACUGAAACACAAACUCACUCAUAAAAAUAAAUAAAAAACAGCAGCUCUUUGAAAUCUCACAGUAUCAACUUUUGUCGUUCGAGGUUUUUUUUUUUUUUUUUUUUUAACAGUCUAUGUCUCCAGGAAACCGUCCAGACACGGUGAUCUGAGCUAUCUGAUUGGACAGCGGUGGGCCUAUCGGUGCACUUGAUUUGCUCUCUGGGCCUACCGCCAACAACGAGAGCACCUAACGCCAACAACCCCUGCUCUAAACUGUGGUGUGUGUAGUGUCAUUGAUGCUAGUGGACAGAACGCUCUAGGCUAUUUCAGAUCAAACUCACUACUACUGACGGACGGUCUGGUGACAGCGCCAGGUGUUGGUAGUAAAACCAGGUCACUGAGGUCUCUGUUGUCUGUAUUGGAGAGAGGAGCAGUAGUAAAACCAGGUCACUGAGGUCUCUGUUGUCUGGAGGAGAGAGGAGCAGUAGUUAGAAUCAGUACUGGGGUAUCUGUUGUCUGUAUUGGAGAGAGGAGCAGUAGUUAGAAUCAGUACUGAGGUCUCUGUUGUCUGUAUUAGAGAGGAGCAGUAGUUAGAAUCAGUACUGAGGUAUCUGUUGUCUGUAUUGGAGAGAGGAGCAGUAGUUAGAAUCAGUACUGAGGUCUCUGUUGUCUGGAGGAGAGAGGAGCAGUAGUUAGAAUCAGUACUGAGGUCUCUGUUGUCUGGAGGAGAGAGGAGCAGUAGUUAGAAUCAGUACUGAGGUCUCUGUUGUCUGUAUUAGAGAGGAGCAGUAGUUAGAAUCAGUACUGAGGUCUCUGUUGUCUGUAUUAGAGAGGAGCAGUAGUUAGAAUCAGUGGCUGCUGCUUGUUGUGAUGAAAGUAGCCCUGUAUGUGUGUGUGUUGUGUGUACAGCUGUGACCCACAUGACCUCACCACUUCCCCUCUCUGCUCUCUUGGUUGGAGGAGAGAGAGGCUCUCAGCUGGUGACUGACUGCUAGGUGCUCAGACGUGGCCUGUCUGUGAGUAGAGAGAAGCUCUCAGCUGGUGACUGACUGCUGGCUGCUCAGACGUGGCCUGUCUGUGAGAAGAGAGAAGCUCUCAGCUGGUGACUGACUGCUGGCUGCUCAGACGUGGCCUGUCUGUUAGUAGAGAGGCUCUCAGCUGGUGACUGACUUCUGGCUGCUCAGACGUGGCCUGUCUGUGAGAAGAGAGAAGCUCUCAGCUGGUGACUGACUUCUGGCUGCUCAGACGUGGCCUGUCUGUGAGAAGAGAGAAGCUCUCAGCUGGUGACUGACUGCUGGCUGCACAGACGUGGAUAGUUCUGUCACAAAAACGGUGUUAACUGAGUUAACUAGCAAAUGUGCCGACUCUGGUCUUGGUAUGUGAGCUCUGGCCAACAGCUCCUAGAUAAAGUAUCCGUAAGUUAGUCUAAAUGAUGAGAUUAUUAUGGAUAAGAGCUAAAUUAUUUUUUAUUUGUCAAACAGCAGUCAAGCAUCGAUCGUCAAGACACCAGUAUAAAACCCUAGAUAUUUAUUUCAAAGGAGCAUUAAGAUCAC
This 1878-nucleotide long non-coding RNA is filed under the name Salmo salar (Atlantic salmon). RNAcentral's name for it is "lncRNA (ENSSSAG00000090038.1)". Lineage: Eukaryota; Metazoa; Chordata; Actinopteri; Salmoniformes; Salmonidae. The record is from RNAcentral.